RNAcentral lists this unclassified non-coding RNA (135 nucleotides) under uncultured fungus. RNAcentral describes it as "sequence contains ITS1, 5.8S rRNA gene". Lineage: Eukaryota; Fungi. The record is from RNAcentral.
UCGUAGGGAUCCGUCCCUAUUGAGAUAGCACCCUUUGUUCAUGAGUACCACCCGUUUCCUCGGCAGGUCCGCCUGCCGCCAGGACCCCACCAAACCCAUUGUCGUAGCAGUGUCGUCAGAAGCAUAAACUAUUUA